CGAGCGAGCUUGCCUAGAUGAAUUUGGUGCUUGCACCAAAUGAAACUAGAUACAAGCGAGCGGCGGACGGGUGAGUAACACGUGGGUAACCUGCCCAAGAGACUGGGAUAACACCUGGAAACAGAUGCUAAUACCGGAUAACAACACUAGACGCAUGUCUAGAGUUUAAAAGAUGGUUCUGCUAUCACUCUUGGAUGGACCCGCGGUGCAUUAGCUAGUUGGUAAGGUAACGGCUUACCAAGGCAAUGAUGCAUAGCCGAGUUGAGAGACUGAUCGGCCACAUUGGGACUGAGACACGGCCCAAACUCCUACGGGAGGCAGCAGUAGGGAAUCUCCCACAAUGGACGCAAGUCUGAUGGAGCAACGCCGCGUGAGUGAAGAAGGUUUUCGGAUCGUAAAGCUCUGUUGUUGGUGAAGAAAGAUAGAGGUAGUAACUGGCCUUUAUUUGACGGUAAUUACUUAGAAAGUCACGGCUAACUACGUGCCAGCAGCCGCGGUAAUACGUAGGUGGCAAGCGUUGUCCGGAUUUAUUGGGCGUAAAGCGAGUGCAGGCGGUUCAAUAAGUCUGAUGUGAAAGCCUUCGGCUCAACCGGAGAAUUGCAUCAGAAACUGUUGAACUUGAGUGCAGAAGAGGAGAGUGGAACUCCAUGUGUAGCGGUGGAAUGCGUAGAUAUAUGGAAGAACACCAGUGGCGAAGGCGGCUCUCUGGUCUGCAACUGACGC
This 723-nucleotide ribosomal RNA is filed under the name uncultured Bacilli bacterium. RNAcentral's name for it is "bacterial SSU rRNA". It matches the Rfam family "Bacterial small subunit ribosomal RNA", at positions 50 to 746 of the family's 1533-position model. Lineage: Bacteria; Bacillati; Bacillota; Bacilli. The record is from RNAcentral.